UAUCUCCCCGACGUUGAGGUAUAGUGUAUCAAGAUACCAAUUCCUAUACCUCUGAAGAUGCAGAAGGAUGGAAUGUGGCUGCUUGAAGGAGAGCAACACCAAGAUCCCUCAUGACCAGACAAAUUUGGCCUUAUUAAAUUCUUUGCUUUAUUCCCGUUACACGACAAUGAGCAAAGAGGGGCAGCUGUAAUAACCCAAAUUUUCCCGGCCCACAUACAUUUCAAAAAAACAAACAAAUAAAAAAUAUAAUAAAUAAAAAUAAAUCCAAAUAAAAAAUAAUAUUAAAGGUCCAAUAAAAACAGUCCAUAAAGUCUGGCUACAAUUUUGUUUAACCCAAUUACAAUAAUGGCUUAAACCCAUUACCCAAACCCAAAAUACAUUGCAUAAACCCGAACAAAUACCCAAAUAAUACAAUCCAAU
Molecule: long non-coding RNA, 420 nt
Filed under: Gossypium raimondii (Peruvian cotton)
Lineage: Eukaryota; Viridiplantae; Streptophyta; Magnoliopsida; Malvales; Malvaceae
Description: long non-coding RNA (GRAI_LNC004088)
Source: RNAcentral